UUUUUCAUUCUCCUUCUGUCCUUAUAGUGUUGAGAAUUUAUCUGUAAAUUGCUUAAUUUCUUUGUAAUUGCAUAUGCUGAAGUGGGUUUGUUCACUCCAAGAAUUAUUUAGGAGUUCAAGAUUAAGUGUUCAAUUUUGAAUAUGGAGUUAAGAAACACGAGAUAUGAAGUAAUCAGCUUGUGGGGUUUGGCAUUUUGGUGUUGUAUCUGCUGUAUAAUUUGAAAGGAAAUAGCUGAUGGAUUGUAGAGAGGCUGAUGUGUCAAGCCAUCAACGUAAAGAGAAUGUUAAAAUUGAACUUCAGAAGCUUCACAUCGAUGUGGGGCAGGAGAGGGAAAGCCAAAUGGAUUCCUCUGUAGAAAGUAGCUGUGAAAGUACUGAUAGUGAGUGUGAUUGUCAGGACCCAAGUGUUUCUUCCAUUGAUAUUGAUAAAAAUCUGGGGGAUAUUAAUAAUGAUUGUCAGACUCCACGAGCUUCCUCCUCCAACAAGUGUGAGAUGGAUGUUGGUGGUGAGCAGAUAUCUCAAAGUUCAAAUGCAUCUGGGGCUGGGAUACUUGUAAAAGAUGAGGAAGUUACAUAUGUGAUACCAAAAGUUGGCAUGGAGUUUGAAUCAGAAGAUCAUGCAUACAAAUGUUACAGCAGAUAUGCUGUGUUGGAGGGAUUCAGCAUCAGGAAAGAUUUUGUGAAUAAAAGUAGGGUAAAUGGUGCAGUUGUUUCCAGGAGAUACACUUGUUAUAGGCAAGGUUAUCGGCCAGCAAAGCAUAAUGUGAAUGUCAGGAAGUCCGGGCAGGAAACAAGAACAGGUUGCUUGGCACAUAUGACUAUUGCACGUCAACCUAAUGGAAGGUUCCGUGUUACCCAUUUUGAAAUAAAACAUAAUCAUGAGUUUGUGACACAAAGUACCACCUAUAUGUUACCAUCACAGAAGAGAUUAACCUUUGCUCAAGCAGUUGAAGCUGACUUAGUUAAUAGUUCUAGGAUGGAUGGAAAACCAAAACUCGGAAUGGGGUUUGAGUCAGAAGACCAUGCAUAUGAGUUUUAUAAUGCAUAUGCUGGACGGAUAGGUUUUAGUGUUCGAAAAGAUUAUGUAAAUAGGAGCAAAAUAGAUGGUGCUGUGGCAUCUAGGAGGUUCACCUGUUUUAGGGAAGGUUAUCGGCAAAAAGACAAGCGGGAUUUGAAUGUGAAGAGAUCUCGAAAGGAAACCAGAGUUGGUUGCUUGGCACAGUUGGUGAUUUCUCGUCAAUCUGAUGGUAAAUACCGGGUCACGCAUUUUGAAGAAAAGCACAAUCAUGAGCUUGUCACUGCAUGUCGAGUGCGCAUGUUAAGAUCACAAAAGAGGUUAGUUGUGUCCAAAGUUGCUGAAGGGAAUGCACAAGAUGUCUUUACAAUACCACACAACACACUUGGAGAUGAACAUGGAUAUAAUCCCAUAGAUUACAAAAACAAACUUUCUUUUAAACAUACAAGAGAAAUGAAAGAGGGUGAAGUAGAAAGGAUACAACAAUAUUUGCAAAGUAAGCAAUUGAAAAAUCCAUCUUUCAUCUAUGUUAUGCAACUUGAUGCUGAAGAUCAAAUAACUAAUAUAUUUUGGGCCGAUUCAAAGAUGGUAGUGGAUUAUAGUGACUUUGGUGAUGUGGUUUGCUUUGAUACAACCUGCAAAUUAGUCAAAGAUGGUCGACCAUUUUCACCUUUCAUUGGGGUGAACCAUCAUAAGCAAAUGGUGAUCUUUGGUGCUGCACUAAUGUAUGAUGAAACUGUCGAGUCUUUCAAGUGGUUGUUUCAAACUUUCAUAGGGGUGAUGUCUGGGAAAAGGCCAAAAACUAUCCUCACUGAUCAAGAUGCGGUACUGGCUGAAGCGAUUGAUUUCGCACUGCCCGGAACACUUCAUCGAAUAUGUGUUUGGCACAUGUAUCAAAAAGCUCUUAAACAACUACACCACAUGUUUGUGGGCUCAGAUUCCUUUGAAAAUGAUUUAUGUAGUUGCUUCUUUGAUCAUGAGGAGGAAGAGGACUUCAUCCAUGCAUGGAAAGUUAUGCUGGAUGUUUAUGGUCUCUGGGAAAAUGAAUGGUUGAAUGAGAUAUUUAAAGAUAGAGAGAAGUGGGCCACAGCGUACAGAAGGCAUAUAUUUUGCGCUGAUAUAAGAUGUGCACAACUAUGUGAAUGUUUUUCAGCUAACUUGAGGAAGUAUCUGAAGUCUGACUCGGAUGUGCUAUUAUUUUUCAAGCAACUUGGGAAAAUGGUGAAUGAUUGGCACUACAAAGAAUUAGAAACUAACUAUGAUAUGAACCAACACAUGCCAAAACUAAUGGGGGAUGUGAUUCUCCUGAAGCAUGCAAGGGAUGUUUACACACCAAAGAUAUUUGAACUGUUUCAACAAGAAUAUGAAACGUGUCUGAAUACUGUCAUUAAUCAAUGCACUGGGACUGGUUCAUUGUUUGAGUAUAAAGUGAGCCUAUACAGGCAACAACAAGAGUAUACGGUGACGUAUAACUUGUCUGAUGAGACAGUCCUGUGCAGCUGUAUGAAAUUUGAGUAUAUGGGAGUUUUAUGCAGUCAUGCAUUAAAAGUGCUUGACUACAGAAAUAUCAAAAUACUACCUGACCGUUAUAUCUUAAAGAGGUGGACAAGAUAUGCGAGGGUUUGAAAUUCUAUACAUAGUGGGUGUAUUACAUGACAUCGCCUGGAAGUUGGCUUAUGGGAGCUGACAGUAGGUCUCUGAUCUCAAAAAAUGGGAUGGUAGCCAUGGAUUCUGCAUGUGAGGAAGCAUUUUUCAAUUUGCUCCUAAGCAAAUUCAUGUGAAGAGAGAGCAAAGCAAUAGAUUAGAAUCAAUGUUCUUGGUUGAAGGCUUCUGAGAAGGUUGGCAGAGUUUGCACUGGACUGUUCUGGGUGUGGAAGUUUUUCCUACUUUUGGUUAUGGAGGCUGUGUCGUUGGAACCUGUAAGAGAGGAGAAUCAGAAGAAGAAAUAUUACAUUAUUUUACCUGCUGGCUGCAUGGCAAAACUAGGGAAGACAUAUUUUACAGAUAAGUUUAGACAGAAUGUACCUUUUUCAUCUCAUCCUUAGAUGCUGCUCUUUCUUUAUAGAAAUUUGGCAGUGGCCUGGCCUUGAAGCAAAGGCUUUGUCGCAGUUUUCUUAGUUCUGUUUCUGCUUUCCCCUGCUCAAACAAAAGGAUCAAUGGCUGUCAUGUACUGAUAUGAACUAUGAACUCAAUUCAAUAUUGAAAUAUGAAGGAAGUGAUUCACAUUUACAAUA
Molecule: RNA transcript, 3249 nt
Organism: Mangifera indica (mango)
Lineage: Eukaryota; Viridiplantae; Streptophyta; Magnoliopsida; Sapindales; Anacardiaceae
Gene name: protein FAR1-RELATED SEQUENCE 7-like
Exons: 3
Source: RefSeq, a predicted model, not a curated record